Molecule: ribosomal RNA, 644 nt
Filed under: uncultured bacterium
Lineage: Bacteria
Description: bacterial SSU rRNA
Rfam family: Bacterial small subunit ribosomal RNA
Source: RNAcentral
UGCAGUCGAGGGGCAGCAUCAUCAAAGCUUGCUUUGAUGGAUGGCGACCGGCGCACGGGUGAGUAACACGUAUCCAACCUGCCGACAACACUGGGAUAGCCUUUCGAAAGAAAGAUUAAUACCGGAUGGCAUAGUUUUCCCGCAUGGGAUAAUUAUUAAAGAAUUUCGGUUGUCGAUGGGGAUGCGUUCCAUUAGGCAGUUGGCGGGGUAACGGCCCACCAAACCAACGAUGGAUAGGGGUUCUGAGAGGAAGGUCCCCCACAUUGGAACUGAGACACGGUCCAAACUCCUACGGGAGGCAGCAGUGAGGAAUAUUGGUCAAUGGACGAGAGUCUGAACCAGCCAAGUAGCGUGAAGGAUGACUGCCCUAUGGGUUGUAAACUUCUUUUAUACGGGAAUAAAGUUAGCCACGUGUGGCUUUUUGUACGUACCGUAUGAAUAAGGAUCGGCUAACUCCGUGCCAGCAGCCGCGGUAAUACGGAGGAUCCGAGCGUUAUCCGGAUUUAUUGGGUUUAAAGGGAGCGUAGGCGGGUUGUUAAGUCAGUUGUGAAAGUUUGCGGCUCAACCGUAAAAUUGCAGUUGAUACUGGCGACCUUGAGUGCAACAGAGGUAGGCGGAAUUCGUGGUGUAGCGGUGAAAUGCUU